RNAcentral lists this ribosomal RNA (141 nucleotides) under Escherichia coli. RNAcentral describes it as "partial 23S ribosomal RNA". It matches the Rfam family "Bacterial large subunit ribosomal RNA", at positions 1 to 140 of the family's 2925-position model. RNAcentral also lists the same sequence under 1 other name. The record is from RNAcentral. Lineage: Bacteria; Pseudomonadati; Pseudomonadota; Gammaproteobacteria; Enterobacterales; Enterobacteriaceae.
GGUUAAGCGACUAAGCGUACACGGUGGAUGCCCUGGCAGUCAGAGGCGAUGAAGGACGUGCUAAUCUGCGAUAAGCGUCGGUGAGGUGAUAUGAACCGUUAUAACCGGCGAUUUCCGAAUGGGGAAACCCAGUGUGAUUCG